This 253-nucleotide ribosomal RNA is filed under the name uncultured bacterium. Its description in RNAcentral is "partial 16S ribosomal RNA". It matches the Rfam family "Bacterial small subunit ribosomal RNA", at positions 524 to 776 of the family's 1533-position model. The record is from RNAcentral.
UACGUAGGGGGCUAGCGUUGUCCUGAUUUAUUGGGCGUAAAGAGCGUGUAGGCGGCCAGGUAGGUCUGCUGUGAAAACUCGAGGCUCAACCUCGAGACGUCGGCGGAAACCAUCUGGCUAGAGUCCGGAAGAGGAGAGUGGAAUUCCUGGUGUAGCGGUGAAAUGCGCAGAUAUCAGGAGGAACACCAAUAGCGAAGGCAGCUCGCUGGGACGGUACUGACGCUAAGGCGCGAAAGCGUGGGGAGCGAACAGG